GAUGAACGCUGGCGGCGUGCCUAAUACAUGCAAGUCGAGCGAACAGACGAGGAUCUUGCUCCUCUGACGUUAGCGGCGGACGGGUGAGUAACACGUGGAUAACCUACCUAUAAGACUGGGAUAACUUCGGGAAACCGGAGCUAAUACCGGUUAAUAUGUUGAACCGCAUGGUUCAUUAGUGAAAGACGGUUUUGCUGUCCCUUAUAGAUGGAUCCGCGCCGCAUUAGCUAGUUGGUAAGGUAACGGCUUACCAAGGCAACGAUGCGUAGCCGACCUGAGAGGGUGAUCGGCCACACUGGAACUGAGACACGGUCCAGACUCCUACGGGAGGCAGCAGUAGGGAAUCUUCCGCAAUGGGCGAAAGCUUGACGGAGCAACGCCGCGUGAGUGAUGAAGGUCUUCGGAUCGUAAAACUCUGUUAUUAGGGAAGAACAAAUGUGUAAGUAACUAUGCACGUCUUGACGGUACCUAAUCAGAAAGCCACGGCUAACUACGUG
This 497-nucleotide ribosomal RNA is filed under the name uncultured bacterium. RNAcentral's name for it is "partial 16S ribosomal RNA". It matches the Rfam family "Bacterial small subunit ribosomal RNA", at positions 28 to 507 of the family's 1533-position model. The record is from RNAcentral.